This 253-nucleotide ribosomal RNA is filed under the name uncultured bacterium. RNAcentral's name for it is "partial 16S ribosomal RNA". It matches the Rfam family "Bacterial small subunit ribosomal RNA", at positions 524 to 776 of the family's 1533-position model. The record is from RNAcentral.
UACGAAGGGGGCUAGCGUUGCUCGGAAUUACUGGGCGUAAAGCGCACGUAGGCGGUCUUUUAAGUCGGGGGUGAAAUCCUGGAGCUCAACUCCAGAACUGCCUUCGAUACUGGAAGACUCGAGUCCGGGAGAGGUGAGUGGAACUGCGAGUGUAGAGGUGAAAUUCGUAGAUAUUCGCAAGAACACCAGUGGCGAAGGCGGCUCACUGGCCCGUAACUGACGCUCAUGCACGACAGCGUGGGGAUCAAACAGG